AUACAUUUGUAUCAAUUUAAUUCAUGUUUCAACUGUAAGAUUCUUUCAAAUAUUUUCUAUUAAGAAUGUAGUUGGUCUCUUAGUUUUUGUUUGAUUGUUUUAAUUUCUGAAUUAUUCAAUGGUUAUCAAACACUAGUUGUCAUAAAAAGAUUUUCGUUCAACUUAUGAUGGCAGUACAUAGAUCACUCGAUGCAUAGUGAGACAUGAAUUCACAUUUCUACCACUUCGGAAAGUAUCAAUAUCCUACAUGUAAAAUUGAUUAGAAGAUACUGAAAAUAUUAAUGGUUUUAUACAAUAUGGAAAUACAGCAGAUCACUCAAGGCUUGCUGAGACAUGACUACGCAUUCAUACCACUUGGGAAAAUAUCAUCAUCCUACGUUGAAAAUUAACUAGAAGAUACUGAUAAUUAUAUAGGUUUUAUGCAAUAUGGCAGUACAUAGAUCACUCGAUGCAUGGUGAGACAUGAAUUCACAUUUCUACCACUUCGGAAAGUAUCAAUAUCCUACAUGUAAAAUGGACUAGAAGUUACUGAAAAUAUUAAUGGUUGUAUACAAUGUACGUGUAAUGGUUA
Molecule: long non-coding RNA, 571 nt
Organism: Rhopalosiphum padi (bird cherry-oat aphid)
Lineage: Eukaryota; Metazoa; Arthropoda; Insecta; Hemiptera; Aphididae
Exons: 4
Source: RefSeq, a predicted model, not a curated record